UGCAUGUUUAAAUAAUUGAUAUUUGUUUGUAUAUGCACAGGUGUAUUCUUUAAAAAAAAAUAAAAAAAAAUGCAAAGCCACUUUUUCAUUUUAAAGGAGAGCCAAACCUCAACUUUAUCAUUUUAUAUAUCAUGUAAUUAAUUAAGAUAUUGGAUAAAUGAUGGACAUACCACAAUUGAGAAAAGCAGUGGUUUAACUUUAUUUUUUAGAGAAAAACUAUUUAAUAACAGAAAUGAACAUUGCGUAAUAGGAAUGAAAUCUGAGCAACAGGAAUGUGUGUGUGUGUGUGUGUGUCCGUGUGUGUGUGUGUGUCCGUGAGUGUGCAUAGCUUGUGUGUGUGAGAGACCGAUUUCUGAAGAUAUGUGCCAUGUGCCCUAGGCUUCUGGGUUCUCUCCAUCUUCAUCUACAAAACAAAAAAUGUUCAGUUGCAGAAACUACAUCCAAUAGUGUUUUAGCUAGAAUUGCACUCAAUACAUGAAAACAAACUUCCCUGACCCUUUCUAAAAAGCCUUCUCUAGUUUGGCCUAGCCUUCUCUCUCACUUUUCAUGUGACGACCUGUGACUGGCCUUGGUAGUGUGAUGAUACACACAAUGUCCUCAAACAAGGACCAAAGAAUAUCUUUGCGGGCUGGCCAGACAAACCUGUUGACCCCAAUCUUUUGCAUACAACGGACUUCAACAUGUGUUUCACUUGUAUCUGUGAUGACACCAGGGUACAGAUUACCAUCGUACUUCAGCACACUCCAUUUGCCAACAACUUCACGACAUUACCAACAACGUCUGUCACUAUGGGAGCCAUGGGAGCUGUCUGCUGGUUGCUGAACUUGAAAUGCUUUGCAUUAAAGCACCCACAGUUCAGAGUUUGUGUUGUUGUGCACAAGCAGCUGACGUCCCUGUAUGUCAGUUCUCCAUGGGCUAGGGACACUACCUAAUGGAUCCUCAUAAUGGACGGAACUGGUGGCUCAUCAUUGGGCAUCUCUGAAACUGCUUUAUCAACUGCUUCCUCGCUGACAAUAAACAACUUGAUUUUUGUGUCUGUCUCUUGCAACACAGCAAACAGGUCUUCAGCAUCAGGAAUGUCUCUUCCUUGGCUGACUAGACUGUCAGCCCUCCUCUUCAGGGCCCCUCCAACACCAUCCCGGGGCACCCUUCCCGUGGCUCGCCUCAAAAAAGUUCCACGUCCCUGCAGUGAAUCCUCGCCUGAGCAGCUCAGUACAACUCAAGAAAAAAUUAGCACUGGUGACAAGUGUUGCCAGAUUGCUGGUGGGCCCUUUUUUCUUGAGAGUGACAGUGCAGAAGCACAUCAAUUGAGGGGUUGCAUACACAUAAAGCACACACGUGUGCAGUGUUGCCUGCUGAUGUGAUGCUCCGGAGUGGACUGACUGUAUUUCUGUGCUGUACUUGCAGAGGUAGUUUUCAGAAAAGUCAACAUAAAUUAAGCAUUCAUGUGCUUUUAAGCUUUGUCUCAAUGCCCUGUAGUGGAUAAACUGAUUGUUGAUGUUAAAAGUGUGUCUCUUAAACCUAUGCAGCAGCAGGUUUAGCUGUUCCAGCAAUUCUUCUAGAGUGGUGUGGAACUCUUUUUUUUUAAUUGUGAUUUUAGAGGUUUUGCCAAUGGGGUCAUGCUGCUUAUCCACAACUACCCACUGAAUAUAAGACACUUUAUUCUCUGGAUUGUACUCUGUAGAGACUGGGCAAGAACGGUCCUUGCACUCCGAACAUUCUCCAUACAUACACUUCAUAUUUUCUGUGUCACAUGAUAUCUCUUUCAAAAGGUCAUCCAGAUUGAUGGUACUGAUUACUAUGAAGUAGUGUAGCUUUUACACAAGAAAACCCAGAUUCUCAAGCAUCCUGCACAUGCACGUGUCCUGAUCACUCCGGGUCGGAUGAACAAUCCAAAAAGGUCUGAGCUUACAGAAGAGUGAGUAAGAGAUGGAGCUUUGUUCUUCAGCCAAAAACUUCCUGUGCAAAUUUUUCAUGGUAUCCAAAAGGAACCGUUUUUGCUUUUUGUUAUUCUUCUGAUUGCCUCUUCCCAGUUCUGAUGCGACUCACGUCAUCCAUUGAGUAAAAACCCCCACUCUGCGUAUCAGACCAUCUGCAACCCUGUUGUUCUGCUUCCUUUAGUAGGUGUAGUUAACCUUUAUAUUCUUCUCAUUUUUGCAUCUUUUAAUUGAAAAGCCCAAUGAAUUUUGAGCAAAGCAUUGCAUUUGUACUUUUCCUGUUAUCACUUUUGAAAUGAUUUGCUUUUCCCUCUCCCCCUCUGCAUUUUUGUAUUUGUUUCGGAUGCCCUCCACCAGAGCUUCAUGAAACAAAAGGGACUUCUGAGCGGCCACACUUGGAAGCUGUCUCAGCUGUUCGUUUACUUUUGUGCCUGGAGAUGCAUUUUUCUUUUUAAUGUGCUGGAGUUUUUUCUUGUACUUUUGUGCUUUUUUGGAUACUUUUUUCAACAGAACCUUUAGUUCUUUCUUGUUUUUCAGCUUCUUCUCUGCCCUUGAUUAUAUUGCCUAAAAACACAUGCAUCACAAUAAAUUACACACUGCAAUAGUCAGGAAAAUGUACUGUUAUGUUGAUAAAUUACCCUCUAUGACCUGAUUGCUAAAUUCAUAGUGUAAUGUAAUCAUGUCAAUUUUCAUUAAACCGAACCCCUCUAGCACAUUGUCUUUGGCACAUGAUCCAUUUAAUAAAGUAGACCUGGAAGUGCUUGGCUGUGGAUGCACAGCUUGCUCUGGUGAUAACUGGGGGCUGUAUGGCGGGGUGACAAGGUGUUGGAGGGCUUCUUUCCUGUCCCGGAUCCUAUGACCCAGUGUGUGACCAGGCCAUGGAACCAGCUCUGGUCCAACCAAUAGAGGUUCCUCGGGACCAGGUCAUGG
Long non-coding RNA from Ictalurus punctatus (channel catfish), 2867 nucleotides. Lineage: Eukaryota; Metazoa; Chordata; Actinopteri; Siluriformes; Ictaluridae. The record is from Ensembl.